Molecule: long non-coding RNA, 1586 nt
Organism: Ictidomys tridecemlineatus (thirteen-lined ground squirrel)
Lineage: Eukaryota; Metazoa; Chordata; Mammalia; Rodentia; Sciuridae
Source: Ensembl
UGAGGUCUAACUUCCACCUUAAAUCUUCUUUGAUUUCUUUUUUUGGCAGAAGAAAGAUGGUCCAAAUUUAGGUAUCCAAGCUAGGAGAGAAAGUGCAGCUCAUCAGUGCUCUCACAAUCAAACCUGACAGCAACAGGUCUCCAGAGACUGCAGACAAAGAGUGCUACGUGGAGUGCUCCUCAGCCUUAGAGAUUCACAGAUAUUCAAGAACACAGUGUCCGUGGUUUGCAGAUCCUUUCUGCCAGGAUUGGCAAUGCCUAGCUCAUCUUGCAGAUUGGCAAUGCAAAAUAGGCUGCAUCAGAUUCAGAAUGAAGUGAGUGGAAUAGACAGGUGAUAAUUUACCUUUCCUACCAUGUCCUCUUAUUCCCUGUUUUCCUGCCUCCAUUGAUAGUACAUAUUUUGAAUCUUCUGAAGUUCACAUUCUCCUUAUAUUUGGUGUUUGGAAAAAUGGAAAUAGGAUGAUCACUACAAAAAGUAUUUAGACUCAAGUACAAUUCACAUUACACAUUGUUAAAAUAAGUUGUUUACUCUUAAGUCUAUGGAUCACUAUAGUUUUAAUGACUUACAAUUUAACAUAAUUCUACCAAUGCCCUAAACUUUAAUUUUCAAUGUAUUCAGUGAACUAAUAAUGUAUCUGAUAAGGGGUUAAGUGCAAAAAUUGUUUUCCUGAUGCACAUACAACUGAAACUUUAUCCAUCCACUUGUUUUUAUAUUUUCAUCUCCUCCUCCAUAUCUCAUACUUCCUGACAUAAGGAAUACAAACUUUUUGGAUUUCAGAAUUUUCACACAGGAAAUUGCAAGGAUGAUGGCCUUUAACCUAUAAAAUCUUUGCAAUAUAUAAUGAAGAAGUACCAAUGUUUUAAAUUGAAUAAAUCAUGAAGAAAAUUCAGCAAAAAAAAACCUAUUAUUUAAUUUUCAGUUGCUUUUAGGACACCAUUAGAAACUGCACAAAUAUAGGGGCUGCUAUGUUUAAGGCCACAACAGCUAGCCAAAGUGGAAUCCCUUCCUGGGAUGCUUAGUGCUAGUGGAAUUCAUUGCUGGUGAAAAAGCAUCAUCUCAUGAUUUUUCUCUUUCCUUCCUUCCAACUGAAAAAUUAAUCAUGAUACUGAAAAAAGGAAGGCAUGGAGAGAAGGAAGGGAGUUACAAAAGCAAGAACACAUAUCACACACUACAGUGCUGCUAUUUGAAAAGAGUCACAUAGAUUUGUGCAUCAGAUAGCCCUGAAGAUGACAGUGUCCUUGUCCAAAUCAGUGUAUUGCAUUUCUAAACUACAUUUCAGAUAGAAGAAUGACCUGGCUGACAUCAAUGUCCUGCAAAAGGUGCCAGAUGGGCUGACCCUAGCCAGAGCUGAAUUGGAGAUGCUGUCUGAGAUCCUGAUGAAAGAGUUGGCCUAUCUGAAGUAGAAUCAAUCAAGAGGAGGCCAAAAUCUGAUUUUUUUUUUCCUCCCAGAUCUCAAAAUUAAAACAUCAGGUUUGCAAAUCUGGAGUUAAAACACGACCUGUUUAAGUAGCCAUUUGUUUUGGAUGUGCCCGUGCAUGUACAUUGCUGCUACUGCUGUUUAUAAUGGUUCUUAUUAAGGUUUAAUU